GAUGAACGCUAGCGGGAGGCUUAACACAUGCAAGUCGAGGGGCAGCAUAGGGUAGCAAUACUCUGAUGGGCGAACCGGCAAACGGGUGAGUAACGCGUAUGCAACCUACCCUGUACAGGGGGAUAACCCGGAGAAAUUCGGACUAAUAUCCCGUAAUAAGUAUCCGGAGGCAUCUUUGGAUAUUUAAAGUUCCGACGGUACGGGAUGGGCAUGCGUAACAUUAACUGGUUGGUAAGGUAACGGCUUACCAAGGCUAUGAUGUUUAGGGGUCCUGAGAGGGUGGUCCCCCACACUGGUACUGAGACACGGACCAGACUCCUACGGGAGGCAGCAGUGAGGAAUAUUGGUCAAUGGGCGCAAGCCUGAACCAGCCAUCCCGCGUGCAGGAAGACGGCCCUAUGGGUUGUAAACUGCUUUUCCAGGGAGAGAAACUUACGCACGUGUUGCGUGACUGACGGUACCCUGGGAAUAAGCAUCGGCUAACUCCGUG
This 490-nucleotide ribosomal RNA is filed under the name uncultured bacterium. Its description in RNAcentral is "bacterial SSU rRNA". It matches the Rfam family "Bacterial small subunit ribosomal RNA", at positions 28 to 507 of the family's 1533-position model. The record is from RNAcentral.